Long non-coding RNA from Gopherus evgoodei (Goodes thornscrub tortoise), 2084 nucleotides. RefSeq lists it as uncharacterized. The record is from RefSeq and is a predicted model, not a curated record. NCBI's taxonomy places the organism in Eukaryota, Metazoa, Chordata, Testudines, Testudinidae. The transcript is spliced from 2 exons.
CAGGUUGUCUGGGUUCGAGUCUCUGACAACUUAGGUCUGGGUUUGAGUCCCAGUCCAGAGUUUGCGCAGGAUCCAGCUUGUCUGGGUUUGAGUUCCAGUCUGGGUUUGAGUCCCAGUUCAAGUGUUCAAGUCCCUGGAGAGGUGACCCAGUGUGAAUCAAAGCUUACUGAAAGACUCCACUUCAACUCCAGUGGCUAGGACCAUUCAAGACUAUCCUGGUGAGCCCUACUGCUGUUUGGGUCAGGGAACUUCCCACUUAGAUUCAUCAUACCAGGAUCAAGAGGAGCACCGCUCGGGAACCUGACCUGGUGAAGGGUUCCCCAGAUGCAGACAACGUCGGACUUCGAGGGAGCCACACACGUCAACCCCACCGUGAACCGGGUGAGCCAGAAGCAGACGACCGCCGUGCCCAGGACACAUGGACUGCUAUCCCCUUGGGCAACCUGAGGCUAAAGCUCGAGAAGAAGUGUACUGGUGCCCAUUCUCCAAGGAAUGGCAGCGAAUAGUCGUUUGGGGAAUUGGUGAACUCAUUUGUGUAUCGUUUGUUGUUUUUCUUUGUGGUGGUUAAAUUAACUAGGGGAUAUAAAUAUAAUGUCUUGAUUCGCUUUGCUCAUGAAAUGAAAGCCCGUAUGCCAGCACUGAAUAAUAUUUCAUGUUAGGUAUGGUCUUCCCAUGAUCCCCAUACCUCUUAGCCCUAUGAAUAUGACAUGGACUUCUUCACAGAAGGACUCCUCAGGCUUGCAGAACCUAACCUAGGCAGAUUCAGGAAUCCCGAUUAAUAGAUACCUUACGGUGUGGGAGCGACUUGGUGAGUGGUGCUUCCUGGGCUCAGGAAAGGUGCCUGUAGGAGUUAGCAAUUGUAAAGCCUAUUUAAUAAAACCCAUUUUGGUGAAAGCCGUGGCCCUAAUUGUACUCUUGUACAAGGGUCACCCCGGCCUGGAAGGUCCUGGUAUGUUUUCUCUGCUAAUUUUUGCAGCUUGUUUAAUAGGUGGGUAUUGGAUAAACCUCAUAGGUUUACCAUUAUACGUUGUGUUGUAGCACCAGACCUAUCGCACACUAAUUACACCGUGGUGCUGGAGCGUUCGGAGAUCAUUCACAUACACUGUAUAAAAAGGCAUUCUUUUAAUUCUUCGGGUGCUGAGUACUCUGUGUGUCAUUGUAUUGAUAAUGCUACUAAUAGUUUUUAUGGGCUCUCUGCCUGGACUGGAUGGUAUUACAAAUCUCAAUAUACUGCAUUUGUUAUAUCUAACCCUUGUUUGGAGUCUAUUGGGUUUGUGGAGAAAAGGCUUAUUUAAGCUUGCCUAUCUCCUGGAAGGGGUCAUGCUAUUUGGCCUGGUUAGAACCCCCUGUCCUAUACCGAGAUCACCUUCCUUCUGGACGUUUAAGAAAUGUGCGAGAUGCCAGGGAAGAUGUUGCCACGUCUCGACUCCUUACCUGGAAAGCACUUAAAGAUUGGACAGAAACUUGUGCAGCACUUUUCUUUGCAUGUGGAGAUGCUACUUACCGUAUAGGGGAAGAUAUAAUGAGAUUCCAAGGAGUGUUAGAAACAAUGGCUAAUAACACUGGUGAAGCCUUCAUUGAUCUCGCCACCGAGCAAAAACAGCUUAGACAAAUGGUUCUUCAAAAUAGAAUGGCUUUGGAUAUUUUGUUAGCCUCACAAGGAGGGACAUGUGCCUUAAUAGGACAAGAAUGUUGUGUAUAUAUUCCUGAUGUUUAUAAUACUACAUGGGAGAGAGCAAAACAUUUUGAAAAAAUUGCAAGGGAUCAUGGAGGAAAGCGACCCAGCUGGAACUCCUGGUGGAGUGAUUUAUUUAGCUGGUUGCCUCAUGUAGGUGGAUGGCUACAUAAUCUGCUUAAAAGUGCUGUUGUUAUUAUUUGUGGAUUUUUGUUGCUUUAUGUAAUCAUAAGGUGUGGAUGCUCAACACUGUGUGGGAGCUCAACUAUGUAAAGAAGCCCCCAGGGUUAAAAGGCCCGGCAGGUAGUAAACCCCCGAUAUAUAUAAAUGAAUAUGUGUCCCAAGAAUCCCCUUAUGGUCCUCUAGGGACAAAAGGGGGAUUGUUAGGCCUGAAUAAAGAUAUAGCAGA